AUUGAACGCUGGCGGCAUGCCUUACACAUGCAAGUCGAACGGUAACAGGUCUUCGGAUGCUGACGAGUGGCGAACGGGUGAGUAAUACAUCGGAACGUGCCUAGUAGGGGGGGAUAACUACUCGAAAGAGUGGCUAAUACCGCAUGAGAUCUACGGAUGAAAGCAGGGGAUCGCAAGACCUUGUGCUACUAGAGCGGCCGAUGGCAGAUUAGGUAGUUGGUGGGAUAAAAGCUUACCAAGCCGACGAUCCGUAGCUGGUCUGAGAGGACGAUCAGCCACACUGGGACUGAGACACGGCCCAGACUCCUACGGGAGGCAGCAGUGGGGAAUUUUGGACAAUGGGCGAAAGCCUGAUCCAGCAAUGCCGCGUGCAGGAUGAAGGCCUUCGGGUUGUAAACUGCUUUUGUACGGAACGAAAAGCCCCGGGUUAAUACCCUGGGGUCAUGACGGUACCGUAAGAAUAAGCACCGGCUAACUACGUGCCAGCAGCCGCCGUAA
This 498-nucleotide ribosomal RNA is filed under the name uncultured bacterium. RNAcentral's name for it is "partial 16S ribosomal RNA". It matches the Rfam family "Bacterial small subunit ribosomal RNA", at positions 30 to 523 of the family's 1533-position model. The record is from RNAcentral.